ACUGAUGCCCUGAGUUCCUGCAAGGGACCCUUCUCCUUUCUCCUUCCUUGUGUCAAUUCAAACUCAACGCUCUGUUCAUGGAAAUGAAAGCUUGGUAGUGAUCUUCGUCACCUGUUUUUGAGGUAGCGAUCUUCUCGAGUCUCCACCCAAGCAGAAACCUCAAAGUAGUAGAAAGUAAUUGGCUUUCUCUCUCCUAUUUAGAGGUUAGGGUUUUCAUCUCUCUCUCUCUGCAUCAGCAACUGCAACUGCAACUAGGGUUUCAAUCUUCAAGAUUCAUAUAUUAGCCAUGACAAGGAAAAGAAAAUCAACAGCUAAGGCCAUCGAAAUAGGAAACAAAGGAAAACAAAUUCAACAAAUUCAAGUAAUGGGUCCUUUUAUAUCAGAUCUUCCAAAGUCUGUCCUUCAAGAUGUUCUAAUAAAACUGCCGAUAAGGAGCAUUAUCAUGUGCAAAACUGUCUGCAAGGCUUGGUAUUCUCUGAUUUCAGACCAUGAAUUUGCUAAGCUGCACCUUGCACAAGCUGAGGCCUGUCCUUUGGUCCGACCCUCUGCCCCAACACGCGUGUCAAGGACCGUUUACUUGCUUGAGCUGGAAGAAAAGUCUGAUUUUGACUUGAAGGACUAUGUCGGUGAUGCUGGCACAUCGGACUGUAUCCACUUUCACCUCCGAAUGAAUUUUGCCAAAUUCAAGAUCCCUUUGCGGAAUGCUGACCAAGCCAUCCAUGCAAUGCGUAAUAGGAAAGGUAGAACUAAAAGGAAACCUGGCAUUAAGUUGGAGCCAUUGGAUCACAAAUACAUGUAUGUGAAUUCGUGUAAUGGCUUGCUUUUCUUGGCUGAAACAUUCUACAACGACCCUCUUGUUGUGUGCAAUCCAAUAACAGGUGAAUUUAUACAACUUCCUGAAGCUUCCAAGGAUGAGAGUCGAGAGAGAUUAUCUAUACGCUGUGCAUUAGGUUACAGUCUGAAGACUAACCAAUAUAAGGUGUUGAGAGUCUUUAGUCAAGGAACACCCAAUCUAGUUCGGAUGGUUGAGUUGUACACACUUGGGCAGAGUUCAUGGAAAUCUCUUGGUACUGCUCCCACGUCAGCAGCAUAUAUGCUAUUGACAUUGCCUACUUAUCUGAAUGGAGAGCUUUAUUGGUUUUACUAUGAGAGUUCAUAUGAGAUAGCGUCUUUUGACUUUGACAAUGAGCAAUUUCACUCAGUUCCAACACCUCCUUUUGAACUGGAGGAAUGUCAGCAUGUGAGCUUGGGACUUUUGGGAGGUUCUCUUUGUGUAUGCUAUGCUCAUGAGAAUUGUAUCAAUGUGUGGGUAAUGGAAGAUUAUGGUACACAAAAAUCUUGGACCAAUAGAUUUUCUAUUAAGACUGAUGAUGGUGUGUGGUGGCCAAAAGGUUUAUAUGAACCAAUGAGAUACUUAAAAAAUGGGGGUUUGUUGAUGUUUAACCAUUCUACUGUCACUUUGAUUUACUAUCACCCAAGAAACUACAGAUCGUUAAUUUAUCUUAAGCUUCGUGGGUUUAGUCCAUAUUUUGAAGCAAUUAGUCAUGUUCCAAGCUUCAUUUCUCUCAAGGACAUUUUGAUGGGCAAUGAUGUAGAAGUACUGAAUAUAAAUUCAAGGUGUGCAGAGUGCAAGCUUCCCGGCGAGACUAGAGGUCUUGAUUUGGUGAAUUUGGAUGCAGACGUGGCAUCAGAUGAUCGUUCUUUUAAGGAAUUUAGAAUGAAACAGGGAUUCUACCGGUGGCAAUAAUGCAGCCUUACGGUGGGCUAAAUAACUUCUCAUGGAGUGGCAACUUUCAACCUACAUCUGGAGGGUUUGAGUUUUUGAGUUUGAGUCAAAUAUCCUGAACCUUGCUUCCCCUCUAACCUAAAGUUACCAGCUAAUGCAUUGUUCUCUUGAGUACACUCCUAAUCAGAUUGGGAAAAUGGAGGAAUCAGUUUGGAUUCGAAAAGCAGCUGAACUGUUUGAGCUCAUUAGAUUGGUAAAGGCACUAAAGAAGGAGCUUUGCAGAAAGGUAGUGGUUGAAUUGCCACGGCCUUUGAAACUGAAGAUAACCAAUGAAAUAGUUGAGAGGUUGAAAAUCUUGAGGCCCAAAGCAAAUGUUACUGAUCAGAGAGAUGGUGCAAGGAAAAACUAAAAGAAGCUAAGCAGUUGGCUCUUGAGACAGAGGCGUCAAAUUCCAGAGUUAGUCAUGAGGAAGCAGAAGAUCAAAUUUUGCCUGGCGGGCUGCCUCCACCUGAAUGCCAUGCCGAAGUUCAUACAGAUUAUGACGAAUCUCAAAAUUAAGAUACAAGCCUUAGCUUUAGCUUUUCACCAGUUAGGGUUUGCUUGGAUCAAGCUAAACGUGCCAAGCCUAAUGAAAAGCGAUGUAAUAUAUGGGUAUACUGCCCGUUUGAAAGCGGUUGCCAUUCUCCAGAUAUUUAUGGGCAUAGACUUGGAUCGUGCUGGCUGAAAUUCGUAAGAAUUAAAACUCUUUACUACGAUUGACACAUUUUCAUUACUUUUUCCUUUAAUCUGAGUUUCGUCCAGAUGAGUCUCAAUUGUGUGGAAAAAUUCUUUGUAAGAGAGAGAGGGGUGGAGUCACUGAAGGUUAAGUCAUUUUUUGUAAUACGGAUUGUCAUCGUAUUGGUGCUGACCGUUCAAGGUGAAGAAGUCUUGGUCGGAGGCAAAGUGAGCUUUGUUGUUAGACGUUGAAACUUUCCCUGUGGAUUAUACUCUCUUUAUCUUUUCUCUAGGGGACCGGUACAGAUAUUCACUCUUGUUUCUCAAGUAUCUUGUGAUUUGUAUCUUGGAGAAGUAAGAUGAAGAUGCAUGUAAAAAAAUAAAUUAAAUUUCCAAAUACUAUAA
RNA transcript from Prunus dulcis (almond), 2845 nucleotides. It is a transcript of the gene named F-box protein At3g07870-like, with no coding region annotated. Lineage: Eukaryota; Viridiplantae; Streptophyta; Magnoliopsida; Rosales; Rosaceae. The record is from RefSeq and is a predicted model, not a curated record. The transcript has 7 exons.